AGUAACACGUGGGUAAUCUGCCCUCGGCACCGGAAUAGCCCGGGGAAACCCGGAUUAAUGCCGGAUAGCCUCACGAGCUCUCGAGCUCGUGUGAAAAGGUAGCUUCGGCCUCUGGCCGGGGAGGAGCCCGCGGCGGAUUAGCUUGUUGGUGGGGUAAAGGCUCACCAAGGCGACGAUCCGUAGCUGGUCUGAGAGGACGAUCAGCCACACUGGGACUGAGACACGGCCCAG
Molecule: ribosomal RNA, 231 nt
Filed under: uncultured bacterium
Lineage: Bacteria
Description: partial 16S ribosomal RNA
Rfam family: Bacterial small subunit ribosomal RNA
Source: RNAcentral